AACCUGGUUGAUGCCUGCCAGUAGUCAUAUGCUUGUCUCAAAGAUUAAGCCAUGCAUGUCUAAGUAUAAGCGACUUGUACUGUGAAACUGCGAAUGGCUCAUUAAAUCAGUUAUGGUUUCUUUGAUGGUACCUUGCUACUUGGAUACCCGUAGUAAUUCUAGAGCUAAUACAUGCAGGAAUGCCCGACUUCGGAAGGGCUGUAUUUAUUAGAUAAGAAACCAUCUCGGGUUCGCCCGGUUGUGUGCUGAGUCAUAAUAACUGCUCGAAUCGCACGGCUCUACGCCGGCGAUGGUUCAUUCAAAUUUCUGCCCUAUCAGCUUUCGAUGGUAGGAUAGAGGCCUACCAUGGCGUUAACGGGUAACGGAGAAUUAGGGUUCGAUUCCGGAGAGGGAGCCUGAGAAAUGGCUACCACAUCCAAGGAAGGCAGCAGGCGCGUAAAUUGCCCGAAUCCUGACACAGGGAGGUAGUGACAAGAAAUAACAAUACAGGGCUACUUCUAGUCUUGUAAUUGGAAUGAGUACAACUUACAUCUCUUCACGAGGAUCAAUUGGAGGGCAAGUCUGGUGCCAGCAGCCGCGGUAAUUCCAGCUCCAAUAGC
RNAcentral lists this ribosomal RNA (599 nucleotides) under uncultured marine eukaryote. RNAcentral describes it as "SSU rRNA". It matches the Rfam family "Eukaryotic small subunit ribosomal RNA", at positions 1 to 598 of the family's 1831-position model. The record is from RNAcentral.